GGGGUCAUCAGUAAGGCACUCAAUCACCUUAAUAUCCUGUGACACCCCUUAUAAGGCUGCUGUUAUGUUCUGGUGGUUGUCAGGAAUAAAUGUACAACAUUGCGUCUCUACAAGGGCACAGCUGCCACAUUGGGCAGCUCUGACCAUGUCUAAGGCCAUCCGGUUUUGCAGAACCAACUUCCUGAUCUGAUUGACUUCAUCAGUUAACAAAAAGGAGAGCAACUCGGGUGUAAUUCAGGGCCCAAACUGUGUGCUCUGCAAGGGCUGUAACUUGCAUUUCUACAGUAGCGACACCUGCUCUAGGGAUAGUUAUCGCUUAGGGGUAGAGUCACUAGGGGGCUUGCUGAACUCGUAAAAACCAGGAACAUAGCACCUUCCAGUUAGGUGGAUGACUAGGCAAUGUGGGAAACACAGUGGCAGGCACAGAAAGCCACCCCCAGGUACAACGUCCAGUCCAAUUGGCUGGUAGAUAUGGCCAUCCUGUGUCCCCACAGACCCAUAAACUCCCUGGGGGCAUAAAGUCCAUGAAGGUCCAGCCUUGGUAAGGCAACUUAUUCCACCACACCCUUGGUUUCGCGGCAUGUGUUAUGUUUGCACAAACCUCAGCAAUAAUCCCUCAGUGACUUUACCCCAGUGCUCCCCUAUACAUCAUGGUACCUGCAAUGGGGGCACCACAUGUUUUCCCGUUAGCCAGCCCCAUCCAUCAUGGACACUAUAAGUCAGCCAGUGGCAGGCUUGCCAUGGGUUUUGGGACGUCCCCCUAUCCAAAGCCCACCAUUGCAUUGUCUAUUGAACACCAAGUCUCUAGCCAUGUCCAGUUCUGCACAGAAGCUGGAUGCACGUUCCAGGGCAAGCUGCCUGCAGCUGCUGCUGAAAGGGUGGUGCAGAUACAACAGUUGAAGACAUUGGUCACCUCAGUGUAGGUGUGGGCCCAGAACAUGAUGCUGUUGGAGCAUGCCACCUAUGGCUGGAAUGACAAAGCAAGCACAGGUACUAACAGGGGUAAAUCAUGUCCCUCAGGCAAAAUACAGGCCAACUUUUCACCUCUCGAUAACAGUGCAGCCACCAAGGGCAUUUGCCCUGGGUGAUGAUACCACACCUUAUCAGCUCCCUGUGGUCCUUUUGGGUGCUGUACCCAUGCCAAACACACAGGGGAGCUUAUGCUAAGCCACACAGACAGUACACAUGCCCUCUGGAGGAGAGUCUCUUCCCUGGCCGUUCCCCUAUGCAUGGUUAAUUGUGGAGGCCACACAUUAAAUACCCAAGGAGUAACAUGUAAGUUAUACUGCAGCCCCUCCCCCCAGGGGGCUAUGAUAGCCAACCAUCUGCAAUGAGGUGCUUGGAGGGUCCAUGGCUAACACCAGGUUUUUCUGUUCCCCUGCCUUUAGGGGUACUGGGGCAGGCAAUAACAGAUUACUGUUCAACCCUGUACCUGGUUGGAGAAGGUUGUUCUUCCUCUCAUAGAUCUGGCCACAUGGCCUGGCCCUACAUGGGUCGAUGACUAACUAGCUAAUUCUGUAACUUCUAGGUAAUUAACCACAAAGUUAAGCCUUGAUAAAUUGCCUAGCUACUAGUACAGAUUACCACAGGUGUCAUCUCCUUGGUGAUCACAGUCCAUAUUGCCUUGAGUUCAACUUAUUAGCUACUUUAUUUACACCUGGUUUUAAACCAUAUUGUGUCAGUACUAGGCUGGACUGUAGCAGCAAUCCAGGCAGCAGCAGUACUCUGGCUAUACCUACCUGUAUACUAUGCCUCAUUAGGAAUGGGAGGAUGCCCUUCCUUAUGGUAAAGGCUCAGGGUCUAGAGGUGCCUCAGACCCCAUGACUUUAUCUUGCAUUAGGACUAUAGGCUUCAAGACCUAUUGUAAUUUUACUCCUAAGAGACCAGUACUCAGUGUACUCUGCUGCUCUAAGUAGGUGCCCCACUUCGCUAAAGUGGAUGUCUGUGCCUUCCCUAUCCAGGGGGUUGUUUCCCAUGAAUGCCCAAUCUCACAAUUACUAACUGCUUCUCUAUCAAGGAAUACUGGGGCUCAGCUCCCUUCCACAGCUGGGAACAAAAGCCUAUUGGCAUACUCAGGUGCUCUAUGCACUGCUAUAGGCCCUAACUGAAACUCUGUUGUCACAGGCACAUCUAGUUUAAAUGGGCACCUCUGGUCCACUACCCGUAUGGCUUGUGCCUGCUAAAUAGCCCGCUAGGCUACCAGAAAGACUGUCUCAGGAGCAUCAUCCCAAUCCCAGGCAAGAAGAACAUUGCCACUUCUAAAUCUGCAGGAGAAUCAGAGGUUAACAUGACAUCAUUAAUAAAAUAAUGACACGUGGUGGGGCUAUGAAUAUAGCCCUGCAGCAACACUGUGAAAGUCCAUUGUCACCCUCCCAUGAAAGCAAACUGUUCCUGCCUCUCUGGAACAAUGUCGACUGAGAGGAAUGCAUUGGUCAAUUCCACCACAUAGUGGCAUUGUCUCAGUUCUGUUGUCAAGAAGUUCAUCAAAUCCAUGAUAGAAGGUACAGAUACAUGCAGAAGGAGUAUUACUUUAUUCAGUUUCCGAUAAUCCACUGUUAUCUGCCAAAUCCCAUCAGGCUUUCUGACUGGCCAUAAUGGAAAAUGGUAGGGGCUAUGGAUGCCACACACUAUUUGCACCUCCUCUAACUUCUUAAUAGUCUCAGUUACCUCUGUAUUCCCCCCUGGCAAACGGUACUGAUGAGUGGAAGUAACCUGUCAGGGUUGUGGCAGAACUUGGGGCUGGUGAUGUGUAUGUUCACCCAGUACUGGCUUUACUGCAUGGACUCAGAAUCUGGAUUCUCUGGCCGUGGUGUGCAAGCCCAGACCAUGCAAAAUGUCCACCCCCAGAAUAUAUUCAGGUAUAGGAGAAACAUACACAGUGUACAGGUGGGGAGCCAAGCGGCCAAUGCCAAGAUGCAGAGACACAGGCUUCACCUUCACCGACUGGCUCCCAUAACCGUCCAUAAAUGCAGCUUUGCCUAGAAAUUUAUCUGGGUUCCCAUAAACUAGACUGCAGUCUGCACCAGUAUCUAUCAGUGCUAGGACCCGCGGUACAUUAGUGGGGGACCAGUGGAUUGCCAGCUCCACAUAUAGCCUCUGGUUGUCUAGUUCCCCCUGCCAAGCUGGCGACCUCGGCCAGUUCCCUAAUCAAACAAGAAAGGCUCUGUAUCUCUGCCUGUCUGCAAAUAGUCCUUGAGUUGCAGCGUCUGGGAGGGAUUAGGUUGAACAACAUUGUUUUGCCCCCCACACCUUAGGCAUUUUCUGGAAUUGCUGCUCCCGGGACAAUUGCCUUCACAGAGUCAACAACAUUCCAUUGGGUUGCCCGUCAAUUUUCUCCCGAGCAACCCCAGCUGCAAGUAAAUCAAUCCACAUCUGCAUGCAGGUCACCUCCUGGAGCCCCUUUUUAUCUGGUGGGGUGGUUAACUGCGGAUGAGGCAUUUUCUCCCUCCUUACGGUGCGGAUUCUCCGGUCCUGCGAAUGGCCUUCUGCCUCCCUGAGGGCUGCCAGAGCAGUAGUCACUUCAUGUAUGCGGCACCCCACAUACUGGGUGAGAACAGCGGCUAGAAAGCCAUAAGGGUUCGGGGUGCUGAACUCAGCACAAGAUCCCUCAUGUGGGAGGUAAAGCGUUCAUCAUCUGGCCCCAUGGUAAUCAGACCAAACAUAGCCUGCCGCAUACCUAUCUCCAAGAGUAUCUGCACCAAAUUAGUAUGUGAUUGCCAUUUACUCACAGUUUGUAGUAUCUCUCUGGCAUCAUUGAAAACAGUCCAUAUGACUGUCAUUAGCCACUUGAUUAAUGUGUGGCCACCUUGCUCUUGUGCCAACCGUUGGCACAGCUGCAGCUGCUGACGAAGGGAGGGGUGAGUUGUGAUAGAAGUCAGCUUCUCCAUCUCAGAGGCGGAACAAAAAAUGCUAUCAGCUCCCUCAGACGCUGCCGGCACUAUUUACCUAAUUCCCACAACUCACUGGGGUUAUAAGCAUAAUAAGAGGCGUGUUCCACCACUGUGGACGGGGUCCCUGGGCUUUCCCCUAGGGUCCCAUCAGCUGCUUAUGUUCUACCUUCUGACGGAUCACAGGAGGAGCCUGCAGCGGAGGAGCCUCCUCCUCCUCAGCAUCAGACCUAAAGGGAGUGUCCUGCCUGAAGGACCGGCUCAAGGUCGCACUAACAGCUCUUGCUAACUCCUGUUCCAGGCUGUUUAUCUGGGCCUCCAAGUACCCUGCUUGCGCCUGGAGGUCUCUCACCCCCAGGUCCUGCUCAAAGCUGUGCACUUGGGCCCCCAGGCAUGCGGCUUGCUCCGGAAGGUCCCUUACCUGUGGCACUGAGCAUGUACUUCCUGCAGUGCAGUUAGAAAUGCCCAUCCGACUCUGCUUGCAAAGACAUCUGCAAUGGCAGUUCACAUGGCUCAGAUAGCUCACUUCUGCAGAGAGCUGAAUUUAAGUGGGACAGGGUAGCAAGAAUAAUUACUUUGACAAUCAUUUUGCCACCUGAUGACUGUGCUGCCUGUCCUGAGCUGAGUGCAGAGAGGGAGACACCCUUACAAAUGGAGAUUUGCUGGAUAGAAAUGUGGCCAAAGAGUUCAAUAAAAGGUUCCUUUAUUUAUAGGCACAGCUGCUUAAAGACUGUUACCGGAAAGGAAUCCUGAUCCAGACGCCAAGAGAGGGUUCUUGGACUCAUGCAAGAAAGACUUCAGUUCUCAGGUCCCUGGACCAUGAAGGGCCACAUCCAAGGAGCUACCCCAGGAGGCCUCUCAUUUGCAUUUGUCCCCGCUAAUGCAGGACAGAGAUCAUGGAAGUUGGGCCCGACUGGAUGAGAUUUGGGGGUCUUUGGAAGUGGAGAAUGUGUUUGCCCUGGGGAAGAGAGGUGAUGUCUAGGAGACCUCUUCACUCAGGGCAAGCUCUAUGACCUGCUUUGACUCCAGAAUGUGGUAGAAGUGGCAUCACAUAAAUUGCAGAGCCUAGGCUUCAAGAGACCUUGCAACUUGCCUCUCACUGACUUGAAGUGCUCCCAUCAGAGCAUCUUGUAAGGAGCAGGUGGAGCAUGUGGACAAGCCAUCCCCACCAGCCCCUGAGACAUGUGAGAGAGGCCAGAACAGGCCAUCCGGACCCCACUGUGCUGGUGGAUGAGACAGCAGAAGGAAUAUCAACCUACCAACAGAAUCCUGAGAAAUGCUCACUCUUACUUCAAGCUGCUGCAUUUUGAUGUUAUGAAACCAUAAAUAACUUAUGAAGUCAUCUUUGCUGACUUAAAGUUUUCCAUAACUUUAUUAUAACAUAUCAAAAUUAUGAAAAAUGUGAAAAGUAGAAAACUGAUGAAUUUUGCUUCUUCAUAUGGUCUUUAAGAAUCUCAAAGGCACUGAAGUUUUUUAUCUUUUCUGUCUUAGAAUAAAAAACCUUGAAUGAAAAUCUGCUUCUUGGAAAAGCAGCAAGGUUUAUGCAGAGGCAAUCUGGUAUUUGUGUGCACUGGCAGCUGAUCAUACCCAGCAUGCACGCACUCUCAGGGCAGAGUCUGAUGCCCCACAUAAUGGGGCAUGGUAAGGACUCCCAUGUCCUUGAGAUAAAAUGAUAAGGAAAAUACACACUGCUAUUAGAAUAACAGGCCCAGCUUCUGCACAUUUUAAUUCCCAAAGUUUUCAUGAAAGACAAUGAUUUUUUGGUACCAUGUUUAACUCUACAAGAAUCAGUAGUGAAAACUAAAAAUGAUACUUUGUGAAAGUUCAUUAAUUUUGUUUUCAGCCAGUGGUGGCCUUGGUCAGAUAGAAUCAAAUCUAUGAUACUUUUUAUCAGAAAUGCUUAUACUGUGUACAAACCCAAAGUGAUGGCUUUCAAAGAUUGAAUUUGAUUAUUUUCUGUAUGGUGCAGAUGAAAAAUUACUACACAGGAGAAGGUGGGUUGGAGGUGCUCACGAGUAACCAGGAAACAGUCUGAAGUUUUUCUGAUACUUCUCCUUGGUCCAACCAAAUGUGAGAUAUAAACACAAACUUGGGAUUCCGUUCUUAUGUUUUGGUUGUUUCAGUCUUUACAGAUGUAUCGAAAGGCUGUCCAAAAAUGUCUGACUUCUGUAGUGUGCCUUCGUAGCACUAGAGGGUUCUGCAGCUGUGAAACUGAAGGCAUUGGCAAGAAGCCCUCCAUCUUCAAACCACUUUCUGCUAAGGUGUGGCUCUAUAAAACCACUAUGAGCUGGGCUUCACUGAGACUGAGUUGUUUCAGUAGGAUCUUCCGGAAAAACAUGUUCCCUCCUUUACCUGGGUUGUCAUUCUGAGAACAAUCACACCUCCAAUUUUGGCUUACUAAGCAAUAGCGUUUUAAUGAUUUUAAGCCAGGAUUUGCUCCUCCUUUCCUCAGUAUGAGAGCUUAACCACUGGAGGAACCAAGAAUUCAUGCUGGUUGGGUUCUGAUUCCACUUUAACUUACUGUAUAGCCUCAUCCCUUGUUUUUCUGGAGAUUCUCUUUUUCUGCUUCACUGAUUUAUAUUUACAUUAAAAUCAAAUGAGGCCAUGUUUCUGAAAUCACAUUGUCCCUACAUGGUCAUUACAAUGAGUCUGUAAUGUGACUGAAAGACAGCCAUGGAUACAGGUAGAGGAUAUCAGGCAAUUGAAUGCUCAUCAAGCAUUCAAUUCAGGGCAAAUGGCAUAAGGUAUGCAGUUGGCCUCUUCUGAUAUCUGUGUCUUAAUCCUUUCUUUAGCCUCUGUUUUCUGGACCAAGGCUAAGAUAUUUUCUGGGCACAGUGGCUCAUGCCUAUAAUCCCAGCACUCUGGGAGGCCAAGGUGGGAGGAUUUCUUCAGCCC
Molecule: long non-coding RNA, 6782 nt
Filed under: Homo sapiens (human)
Lineage: Eukaryota; Metazoa; Chordata; Mammalia; Primates; Hominidae
Description: HSALNT0346791
Source: RNAcentral